CAUAUUUUAUAGAACUGAUCUAAGCCAUUGAGAAGACUUAAAAGUCCCAUGGACGUGAGCUUUUGUCUCUACAGUCCUUUUCUUGCUUUUGGAACAUACAUCCAUACUGAAGAGUAAAUGCACAUGCCCAAAGUUAACUGUUCCACCAUGAUGCUUCAGAUUCCAACAUUUGGCUCAAGCAUGGGCAUGAGACAUAAUCAAGGCAAGUAAAGGCGAUGAUGUUUUUCUUGAAAUGCUAGAGCAGAAGUGGUGUCCCAUCUCCAGGCUCUUCCUGAGAGAUUCCACAUUUGGUGGGGCAGCAGCAACCCCGUUGCCACAAUGCCAUUUGACACUGAAACUUGUUCAGAGAAGACAUGGCUGGAAGGAAGUGUAAAAGUGAGUGCUAAUGAUGUUAUUUGUGCCUAAUGUUCAUCUAUGCCAGAGGAAGGCUCUAUAUUUAGUAUUAUCAGUUAUAUAAAUCAAUAAAUUUCUUUUUCACUUAA
This is a non-coding RNA of Macaca mulatta (Rhesus monkey), 482 nucleotides long. Lineage: Eukaryota; Metazoa; Chordata; Mammalia; Primates; Cercopithecidae. The record is from RefSeq and is a predicted model, not a curated record.